CAGUCGCCGCGGUAAUACGUAGGUCCCGAGCGUUGUCCGGAUUUAUUGGGCGUAAAGCGAGCGCAGGCGGUUAGAUAAGUCUGAAGUUAAAGGCUGUGGCUUAACCAUAGUACGCUUUGGAAACUGUUUAACUUGAGUGCAAGAGGGGAGAGUGGAAUUCCAUGUGUAGCGGUGAAAUGCGUAGAGAUGUGGAGGAACACCAGUGGCGAAGGCGACUCUCUGGUCUGUAACUGACGCUGAGGAGCGAAAGCGUGGGUAGCGAACAGGAUUAGAUACCCCAGUAGUCCCUGUCUCUUAUACA
This 301-nucleotide ribosomal RNA is filed under the name uncultured bacterium. Its description in RNAcentral is "partial 16S ribosomal RNA". It matches the Rfam family "Bacterial small subunit ribosomal RNA", at positions 509 to 808 of the family's 1533-position model. The record is from RNAcentral.